AGCUUUGCACAGUGGUAGUAUCAUAGCCAAUAAGGUUUAUCAGAGGAGCGAUUAUUGCUAAUUGAAAACUUUUCCCAAUACCCCACCAUGACAACUUGAAAUGUAGUCGGCAUUGGCAAUUUCUGGCAGUCUCUAUGGGA
Molecule: small nuclear RNA, 140 nt
Organism: Aotus nancymaae (Ma's night monkey)
Lineage: Eukaryota; Metazoa; Chordata; Mammalia; Primates; Aotidae
Gene: U4
Rfam family: U4 spliceosomal RNA
About the family: U4 small nuclear RNA (U4 snRNA) is a component of the major U2-dependent spliceosome. The structure of U4 snRNA from yeast and human has been reported.
Source: Ensembl